This 1344-nucleotide ribosomal RNA is filed under the name uncultured bacterium. RNAcentral describes it as "bacterial SSU rRNA". It matches the Rfam family "Bacterial small subunit ribosomal RNA", at positions 28 to 1381 of the family's 1533-position model. The record is from RNAcentral.
GAUGAACGCUAGCGGGAGGCCUAACACAUGCAAGCCGAGCGGUAUUGUUUCUUCGGAAAUGAGAGAGCGGCGUACGGGUGCGGAACACGUGUGCAACCUGCCUUUAUCUGGGGGAUAGCCUUUCGAAAGGAAGAUUAAUACUCCAUAAUAUAUUGAACGGCAUCGUUUAAUAUUGAAAGCUCCGGCGGAUAGAGAUGGGCACGCGCAAGAUUAACUAGUUGGUGAGGUAACGGCUCACCAAGGCGAUGAUCUUUAGGGGGCCUGAGAGGGUGAUCCCCCACACUGGUACUGAGACACGGACCAGACUCCUACGGGAGGCAGCAGUGAGGAAUAUUGGUCAAUGGGUGCAAGCCUGAACCAGCCAUCCCGCGUGAAGGACGACUGCCCUAUGGGUUGUAAACUUCUUUUGUAUAGGGAUAAACCUACCCUCGUGAGGGUAGCUGAAGGUACUAUACGAAUAAGCACCGGCUAACUCCGUGCCAGCAGCCGCGGUAAUACGGAGGGUGCAAGCGUUAUCCGGAUUUAUUGGGUUUAAAGGGUCCGUAGGCGGACUUAUAAGUCAGUGGUGAAAGCCUGUCGCUUAACGAUAGAACUGCCAUUGAUACUGUAAGUCUUGAGUAUAUUUGAGGUAGCUGGAAUAAGUAGUGUAGCGGUGAAAUGCAUAGAUAUUACUUAGAACACCAAUUGCGAAGGCAGGUUACCAAGAUAUAACUGACGCUGAGGGACGAAAGCGUGGGGAGCGAACAGGAUUAGAUACCCUGGUAGUCCACGCCGUAAACGAUGCUAACUCGUUUUUGGGCUUUAGGGUUCAGAGACCAAGCGAAAGUGAUAAGUUAGCCACCUGGGGAGUACGCUCGCAAGAGUGAAACUCAAGGGAAUUGACGGGGCCCGCACAAGCGGUGGAUUAUGUGGUUUAAUUCGAUGAUACGCGAGGAACCUUACCAAGACUUAAAUGGGAAUUGACAGCUUUAGAAAUAGAGCUUUCUUCGGACAAUUUUCAAGGUGCUGCAUGGUUGUCGUCAGCUCGUGCCGUGAGGUGUUAGGUUAAGUCCUGCAACGAGCGCAACCCCUGUCACUAGUUGCCAUCAUUCAGUUGGGGACUCUAGUGAGACUGCCUACGCAAGUAGAGAGGAAGGUGGGGAUGACGUCAAAUCAUCACGGCCCUUACGUCUUGGGCCACACACGUAAUACAAUGGCCGGUACAGAGGGCAGCUACACAGCGAUGUGAUGCAAAUCUCGAAAGCCGGUCUCAGUUCGGAUUGGAGUCUGCAACUCGACUCUAUGAAGCUGGAAUCGCUAGUAAUCGCGCAUCAGCCAUGGCGCGGUGAAUACGUUCCCGGGCCU